CUCCUACGGGAGGCAGCAGUGGGGAAUCUUGGUCAAUGGGCGCAAGCCUGAACCAGCGACGCCGCGUGAGUGAUGAAGGCCUUCGGGUUGUAAAGCUCUGUGGGGAGAGACGAAAACGGUCUGGGCGAAUAGGCCAGAUCCUUGACGGUAUCUCCUUAGCAAGCACCGGUUAACUCUGUGCCAGCAGCCGCGGUAAGACAGAGGGUGCAAACGUUGCUCGGAAUUACUGGGCGUAAAGCGCGUGUAGGCGGGUCGGCAAGUCGGGCGUGAAAUCCCUAGGCUCAACCUAGGAACUGCGCUCGAAACUGCCGGUCUUGAGUGACGGAGAGGAAAGCGGAAUUCCUGGUGUAGAGGUGAAAUUCGUAGAUAUCAGGAGGAACACCGGUGGCGAAGGCGGCUUUCUGGACGUCUACUGACGCUGAGACGCGAAAGCGUGGGGAGCAAACAGGAUUAGAUACCCUGGUAGUCCACGCCGUAAACGAUGAGUGCUAGGUGUCGUGGGUUUUGACCCCUGCGGUGCCGUAGCUAACGCAUAAGC
This 538-nucleotide ribosomal RNA is filed under the name uncultured bacterium. RNAcentral's name for it is "bacterial SSU rRNA". It matches the Rfam family "Bacterial small subunit ribosomal RNA", at positions 336 to 865 of the family's 1533-position model. The record is from RNAcentral.